This 289-nucleotide ribosomal RNA is filed under the name uncultured Rhizobium sp. RNAcentral describes it as "partial 16S ribosomal RNA". The record is from RNAcentral. Lineage: Bacteria; Pseudomonadati; Pseudomonadota; Alphaproteobacteria; Hyphomicrobiales; Rhizobiaceae.
CUACAGGGGUAUCUAAUCCUGUUUGCUCCCCACGCUUUCGCACCUCAGCGUCAGUUGUGGACCAGUCAGCCGCCUUCGCCACUGGUGUUCCUGCGAAUAUCUACGAAUUUCACCUCUACACUCGCAAUUCCACUGACCUCUUCCACACUCAAGACACCCAGUAUCAAAGGCAGUUCCGAGGUUGAGCCCCGGGAUUUCACCCCUGACUUAAAUGUCCGCCUACGUGCGCUUUACGCCCAGUAAUUCCGAACAACGCUAGCCCCCUUCGUAUUACCGCGGCGGCUGGCAC